This 250-nucleotide ribosomal RNA is filed under the name uncultured prokaryote. Its description in RNAcentral is "partial 16S ribosomal RNA". The record is from RNAcentral.
GCUCACUGAUAUAUGAUUACUCAAGGGAAUUUAAAGUCGUUGCAAGGGGGAUAUACACAUAUUAUCCAGGCGAAAUUACCCUUGUUAAAACAGAAUACGAUGUGAAAUACGAGCACAUGUCGGGAAUGCUGGGCAUUGAAUAUGAUCCCGGGCUUGAAUUUUUAUCACAACAUAAGCUGCAUUGGAGAAAUUCUAUAUAUUUCGGCUAUUCCCGCACUGAAGUGACAAUACAGGGAAUUGGCGGGAGGGC